GAUCCAGGGGUUGUUGGACAUGAUAGCGUUCGUUGAUUUUUCCAUCUGACGCACAUAUUCGGAAUUGGUAAGGUAGCUACAUGGCGAUCGCAGCCUUGCUCUUCUCCCUCCUAUCUUCUUUUAGACUUUAUUAUUUUUUUCCUAAAUGUAUAACUCCUAGUUUUUUAUCGGAAAGACCAUAGUAGAUGCUCGUGACUUGUGGCACCUCGAUGUCGGGCUUCUGUUUCUUUCUGUAUGUUGUUAUUUUGUAACGACCCGAUCGGUCGUUUUGAGCUUUUGCACUUCGCUCGCCAGUUCUUGGGCAUGAGUAGUCUCGUGUGAUAUAUUAUAACUUAUGUAAAUUGUCGGUUUUGGUUUUCAGGGUAAUCGAAAUGAAUUUGAAAGAACAGUUCUCAGUUUGUAGUUUAAAAUUUGAAAGGUUUCACCAAGUUUUGACUUGUUAGUAUAUGAUCUCGGAUUGGAAUUUUUAUGAUUUGGUUAGCUCUGUUAGGUGACUUGGGACUUAGGGGCAUGAUCGGAAUGUAUUUUGGAGGUCUGUGGAAGGUUUAGGCUUGAAUUGCCCAAAUUGAAAUUUUGGCUUUUUUGGUUGAUAGGUGAGAUUUUGAUAUAGGGGUCGGAAUGGAAUUUUGGAAGUUGGAGUAGAUCCGUUGUGUCAUUUGUGACGUGUGUACAAAAUUUCAGGUCAUUCGGAGUCGAAUUAAUGGGUUUCGGCAUCGUUUGUGGAACUUGAAAGUUCCAAAGUUCUUAAGCUUGAAUCCGAAGUUAAUUUGAUAUUUUGGUGUUGUUUUGAGUGAUUCGAAGGCUCGACUAAGUUUUAAUGAUGUUAUGGGAGGUGUUGGUAUAUUUGGGUUGAGGUCUCGAGGGCCUCGAGUGUGUUUCGGGUGAGUUUUGAGCGAGUUCGGGGAUUACCGGGACUCAGGUAUUGGUUCUGGUGUUUAAAUUUACAGCUGGGGUGUAGGUUUUACCGUUGCGCGUGGUGGUUUUACUGCUGGGCGUGGUGGUUUUACCGCUGGGGCGGAAAAUGGUCCGCGGUGAGGAAGAAUCCGCAGGUUCACUGGUCUGACUUCGGAAGCCUAUAUAUUUUGAUCUACAAGAAAUUUUGAAAUAAUGCAAAAAUGAAAGUUCUAGCCCUUCGUGUUUAGUUUUCACAAAGUUAAAGAAAUCACAAUUUAGGCAUCUGUAGAGAAAGUUAUGGCCAAAAUACUAAAGCAUGUCACUACAAUCAAUAUUUUUGCUGUAGAAAUGGUUUUACCGCGGUCAGUGGUGGUUACCGCGAUCAGCGGUGAUGAGGAUCCGAAAGGUGCUCGAUAAAUACAAGAUUUGGAGUUUUAUUUCAUAUUUUGACCUAGAGAGCUCGGGCUUUGGCAAUUUUUCGAGGGAUUUUCAAGAAAACCAUCAGGGUAAGUGAUUCUAACUCAAUUUUGGCUAAAAUACAUGAUUAUAACAUUGGAUUCAUCAUUUGAGUAGUGAUUUGGGAUGCAAAUUUGGGGGAAAUUGUGGAACUUCAUAAAAUGAAUUUUUGAGAUUUGAAAGCCGAUUCGAAGUCGGAAUUGAGUGAAACUAGUAUGGAUAGUCGCGUAAUUGAAUGGGUUAUCGGAUUUUGAGACUUUGGUCGAAUUCCAAGACGUGGGCCCGAGGUCGGGUUUGAGCAAUUUCAGAAUUCUUGAGUUAAUUUGAUUAUUUUCGUCUGAGCUUUGUUCCUUUAGUGUAUAUUGAUGAUAAUAUACUGAUUUUGGUUAGAUUUGGAGCAUUUGGAGGCCAAUUUGAGAGGCAAAGGCAUCAGAGUUAUGUUGUAUUCUACUGUUUUCAUAACUCAGCCAUAUUACUCUAUUUUGAUAUUUUUAAAUGAUAUUUUGGGCUGAGCAUUAUGUUUUACUGUUGCCCGAGUGGCUUGAGAGAUUUUUGACUGAGUGAGGUCGAGGGCCUGUGUUGUGAGGAUAUUAUGGGAUCAGGCUGUGUGUCGCAGCAGUGUAUACUGGUUUAUGAUUAUGAGGCUGAGGGCCUGAUUUGUUAUGCCAUUAGAUGGCUUGAUAUGAGGUCACGAGCCUACUGAUUAUGCCACGAGAUGACUUGAUAUUGCGCUUGGGCCGUAAGGAAAACCUCCUGAAGUCUAUACACCCCCAAUGAGUGCGGGUACCCAGUGUGAGAUGUGAUAUAGCUUGAGGGGCUGAUGUUGUUCCAUGUUAUUGCUCGAGGGGCGGUUCUUGAUUUAUGUUAUGCCCGAGGGGUGAUUACGUGUGAUUGUGAGGUAGCCCAAGGGGCUGGUUCUGUUGAUAAUAUGCCCGAGAGGCGAUUUAUGGUACAUGUUUUGCCCGAUGGGCUGUUUACGUUUCUAUCAUGUUUAUUCACUCUUUUAUCUCUCGUUUGAAAACUAUUGGGAAUUGUUUUAAAAGGUUUUUACCGAAAUUGAGCAUGAUUUACGAAGUAAAUGAUUUCUGUAAUGUGUUGGAAAUAUCCUGCUUUUGUUGUAGCGUUUUGAUGUGGUUUACGUGUUUUCUUACUGCUCAGCUUUCUUUUACCUUUAUUACUUACUGAGUUGGAGUACUCACAUUACUUUUUGCACCUUGUGUGCAGAUUCAGGUAUUUUUGAACCCGGUAGUGGGUGUUGAUUGCUCAGAAGUAGAGUCAUCGGAGUUUAGCAAGGUAGCUAGCUGCCCGACGUCUACAACACCAUUUUUCUCCCUCUUGUUUUCAUUAGACUGUAUUUAGUACAUUUUCAGAUUUUUUGUUUUAUUCAGACCUUAGUAGAUGCUUGUGACUUGUGACACCCCGACGUCGGGCUUGUAUAUUAUUUCCGCACUGUUCAUUUAGACAUACAUUAUGAAACAUCUGUUU
RNAcentral lists this long non-coding RNA (2835 nucleotides) under Nicotiana tabacum (common tobacco). RNAcentral's name for it is "long non-coding RNA (NTAB_LNC004531)". Lineage: Eukaryota; Viridiplantae; Streptophyta; Magnoliopsida; Solanales; Solanaceae. The record is from RNAcentral.